ACGCUCGACACCUACGGGAGGCAGCAGUGGGGGAUAUUGCACAAUGGGGGAAACCCUGAUGCAGCAACGCCGCGUGAAGGAUGAAGGUUUUCGGAUUGUAAACUUCUGUUCUUAGUGACGAUAAUGACGGUAGCUAAGAAGAAAGCUCCGGCUAACUACGUGCCUGCAGCCGCGGUAAUCUGAGCGGGCUGGCAAGGC
Molecule: ribosomal RNA, 198 nt
Filed under: uncultured bacterium
Lineage: Bacteria
Description: partial 16S ribosomal RNA
Rfam family: Bacterial small subunit ribosomal RNA
Source: RNAcentral